RNAcentral lists this ribosomal RNA (498 nucleotides) under uncultured bacterium. Its description in RNAcentral is "partial 16S ribosomal RNA". It matches the Rfam family "Bacterial small subunit ribosomal RNA", at positions 28 to 507 of the family's 1533-position model. The record is from RNAcentral.
GACGAACGCUGGCGGCGUGCCUAAUACAUGCAAGUCGAACGAGAGCGACCGGUGCUUGCACUGGUCAAUCUAGUGGCGAACGGGUGAGUAACACGUGGGUAACCUGCCCAUCAGAGGGGGAUAACAUCCGGAAACGGACGCUAAAACCGCAUAGGUCUUCGAACCGCAUGGUUUGAAGAGGAAAAGAGGCGCAAGCUUCUGCUGAUGGAUGGACCCGCGGUGCAUUAGCUAGUUGGUGAGGUAACGGCUCACCAAGGCCGUGAUGCAUAGCCGACCUGAGAGGGUGAUCGGCCACAUUGGGACUGAGACACGGCCCAAACUCCUACGGGAGGCAGCAGUAGGGAAUCUUCCGCAAUGGACGCAAGUCUGACGGAGCAACGCCGCGUGAGUGAAGAAGGUUUUCGGAUCGUAAAACUCUGUUGUUAGAGAAGAACAAGUGCUAGAGUAACUGUUAGCGCCUUGACGGUAUCUAACCAGAAAGCCACGGCUAACUACGUG